UCUCCGUAGGUGAACCUGCGGAGGGCUCAUUACUGAGUGAGGGCUCACGCCCGACCUCCAACCCUUUGUGAACACAUCUUGUUGCUUCGGGGGCGACCCUGCCGGCACUCUGUCGCCGGGCGCCCCCGAAGGCCUUCAAACACUGCAUCUUUGCGUCGGAGUUUAAGUAAAUUAAACAAAACUCUCGACAACGGUUCUCUUGGUUCUGGCAUCGAUGAAGAACGCAGC
This 228-nucleotide unclassified non-coding RNA is filed under the name uncultured fungus. RNAcentral's name for it is "sequence contains ITS1, 5.8S rRNA gene". The stretch from base 180 to 228 matches the Rfam family "5.8S ribosomal RNA", at positions 1 to 49 of the family's 154-position model. Lineage: Eukaryota; Fungi. The record is from RNAcentral.